This is a long non-coding RNA of Mya arenaria, 272 nucleotides long. RefSeq lists it as uncharacterized. The record is from RefSeq and is a predicted model, not a curated record. NCBI's taxonomy places the organism in Eukaryota, Metazoa, Mollusca, Bivalvia, Myida, Myidae. The transcript is spliced from 4 exons.
AGUUACAAGGGGAUAUUCAGAAUUUGAAAGAAAAACUGGUAAAUAAAGACAGGCAGAUUGCAGAUAUGCAGGCAAACCAAAACAGAAUGUAUGCAGAGAAUGAUAGUCUAAUGCUCAAGAGUGAAAAUGGCAGAACAGACAGCAGCAAGGGCAAGGGCUUCCCUACCAAAGACAGCAGAAACUGAAACUUUAGCCGAAGUAGCAGACCAUAUGACGGUGGCAGUUGUGGAAUAUACAAACCAGAGUGUGUAUAUUGGAGAAAUGGAGGGAAA